CAGAUUUUUGGCCCAUCUUUAGAACAAGAUGCUUCUAACAUUCAGCAUAUGGGUUAGGCAAUGUUUUGAACCUGCGAAUUAAACUCAAAUCAUAAUGUUUAAUUAAAAUUAGAAGUUUUUUGAAAGGAAAACAAAUACACAAAAAGCAAUAUAUACUAUUUCCCAAAUUACUUAUUCAUUCUAACGCUAUCACCAGAAUUAUUAUGUAUAUGCUAUGAAAAAUAUCACUAAAGAAUUGGCAAAAGUCUUAUUUAGUUCAAAACCAAAGAAGAAAAAUUAAAACAUGCAACUUACAAAACAUUAGGUUUGUCACACAUAGCCAAGUUCCAAACUUAUACAAUUUUUUAAAAGUAUGAUAUCAAAGCAGAAAAAAGCAAAAGUGAACAUAUAAAAAAUGCUUAUUAAGCAAAUAUGAGGUACCAUUAUCACACUAGAACAUUUUUAAUAACAUUUAAUUAACUAUAUAAUGGCUAUGUCUGCUCUUAGUACCUUACUUUCAAUCUGGAAUCUUUUCUGUUUUAUAUGGCUUGUUUUCUUGUUCUGCUUUGUUUGAAGAAGUGAAUGUAAAUGGAAGAAAAUGUUUAAAGGAGAAAGUUACUGGGCAUCUUAUCAACAUUCCCUGCAGGGUCCUGGAGAAUAAUGGAAAUCAUUUGUGGGUAUGAGUCAGCCUUCUACCUUGUCAGGUUUCACCAUCCGGGUUUGAAAUAAGAUUCUUAUAAUCAAAUCUCACAUCCUGCCCAUUCAAAUGCCUCCUUCCUCUUCUAUCCACAGUACACACCAGCAAUCCUUCCCUAGGGCCUUCCUGCUUAAGAGUACAUCAGGUACCAAGUCAAAGGCAGGACCAAUAGGACAUUAGCAACAGGAACCUAAAGCCCAAAGCCAAAGGAUGCCCAAGAGGUCAGAAAACUUAGGCCUAAGGACAGAGGAAAUGUCUCCAUAGAGUAUGUUGACAUGAUUUGAUCAACAAAACAAUGACACAAUGUGUUCUACCAUGAUUAACCAAAAUAAUAAUAAUAAUAAUAACAGGUUUGUUUUCUUUUGGUGGUGCUGGGUAUCAAACCCAGAACCCUGUACAUGCUACUAGGCACACUACUACUAAGCCUCUACUAAGUUUUUGAACUUCAAAUAGCCGGGUUGAUGAGAAGGAUGAUGCCUAAUUUGUUAAUUUAUCUCAUGGCAUCAUCCUAAAUGCUAACUUUCUACUAAAUAAGUGUGUGUGUGUGUGUGUGUGCGCGUGCACACGCGCACACGUGCGGUAUGUUUGUAACCAAUUAGUAUGUCUAUUUUUAAGGCAGUAUAACAAAAGGAAAAUACAAAUAUUACCCUUUUCAUUUUCAAUGGUAACAAAUACUUCAAUCAGGGAAAAUUAAAAUUAUUUUGGUAGUUUUUAUAUGGCCCUGGACCCAAAGUGUAAUAGCCAUUUAAACAAAACUUUAGCGAAAGAUAUUAGGGGUGGAGAGAAAGCCAUAUUGAAAAAUUAUACUUUGCUAUACAUCUAAUUACAAAUAAGUCAUUUUGGGAAUAGACUUUUUAAAAAUUCUCUCAUGUAAACAUAUAUUUA
RNAcentral lists this long non-coding RNA (1561 nucleotides) under Marmota monax (woodchuck). The record is from RNAcentral. Lineage: Eukaryota; Metazoa; Chordata; Mammalia; Rodentia; Sciuridae.